Non-coding RNA from Acanthosepion pharaonis, 110 nucleotides. The record is from the annotation of a GenBank genome assembly. NCBI's taxonomy places the organism in Eukaryota, Metazoa, Mollusca, Cephalopoda, Sepiida, Sepiidae.
ACAGCCAUAUAACGUGGAAACACCGGUUCACGUACGAUCACUGAAGUUAAGCAAUGGUGAACCUGGUGAGUAUCUGGAUAGGUGACUACUUGGGAAUGCCAGAUGAUGUA